UAGGGAAUCUUCGGCAAUGGGGGGAACCCUGACCGAGCAACGCCGCGUGAGUGAAGAAGGUUUUCGGAUCGUAAAGCUCUGUUGUUAAGGAAGAACGAGUGUGAGAAUGGAAAGUUCAUGCUGUGACGGUACUUAACCAGAAAGGGACGGCUAACUACGUGCCAGCAGCCGCGGUAAUACGUAGGUCCCGAGCGUUGUCCGGAUUUAUUGGGCGUAAAGCGAGCGCAGGCGGUUAGAAAAGUCUGAAGUGAAAGGCAGUGGCUCAACCAUUGUAGGCUUUGGAAACUGUUUAACUUGAGUGCAGAAGGGGAGAGUGGAAUUCCCAGUGUAGCGGUGAAAUGCGUAGAUAUUGGGAGGAACACCAGUAGCGAAGGCGGCUUUCUGGACUGCAACUGACACUGAGGCACGAAAGCGUGGGUAGCAAACAGG
This 429-nucleotide ribosomal RNA is filed under the name Verrucomicrobiota bacterium. Its description in RNAcentral is "Verrucomicrobia bacterium partial 16S ribosomal RNA". It matches the Rfam family "Bacterial small subunit ribosomal RNA", at positions 355 to 776 of the family's 1533-position model. The record is from RNAcentral. Lineage: Bacteria; Pseudomonadati; Verrucomicrobiota.